UACGGAGGGUGCGAGCGUUAUUCGGAAUUACUGGGCGUAAAGCGCGUGCAGGCGGGGAGGCAAGUCUGAUGUGAAAGCCCUGGGCUUAACCCGGGAAGUGCAUUGGAAACUGUCUUUCUUGAGUACUGGAGAGGAAGGGGGAAUUUCCGGUGUAGAGGUGAAAUGCGUAGAGAUCGGGAGGAAUACCAGUGGCGAAGGCGCCCUUCUGGACGGUUACUGACGCUGAGACGCGAAAGCGUGGGGAGCAAACAGG
This 253-nucleotide ribosomal RNA is filed under the name uncultured prokaryote. RNAcentral describes it as "partial 16S ribosomal RNA". It matches the Rfam family "Bacterial small subunit ribosomal RNA", at positions 524 to 776 of the family's 1533-position model. The record is from RNAcentral.